CCUACGGGUGGCAGCAGUGAGGAAUAUUGGUCAAUGGGCGUAAGCCUGAACCAGCUAAGUCGCGUGAGGGAUGAAGGUUCUAUGGAUCGUAACCCUCUUUUAUAAGGGAAUAAAGUGUGGGACGUGUCCUUUUCUGUAUGUACCUUAUGAAUAAGGAUCGGCCAACUCCGGGCCAGCAGCCGCGGUAAUACGGAGGAUCCGAGCGUUAUCCGGAUUUAUUGGGUGUAAAGGGUGCGUAGGCGGCCUUUUAAGUCAGCGGUGAAAGUCUGUGGCUCAACCAUAGAAUUGCCGUUGAAACUGGGUGGCUUGAGUAUGUUUGAGGCAGGCGGAAUGCGUGGUGUAGCAGUGAAAUGCUUAGAUAUCACGCAGAACCCCGAUUGCGAAGGCAGCCUGCCGAGCCAUGACUGACGCUGAUGCACGAAAGCGUGGGGAUCAAACAGGAUUAGAUACCCGUGUAGUC
RNAcentral lists this ribosomal RNA (460 nucleotides) under uncultured bacterium. RNAcentral describes it as "partial 16S ribosomal RNA". It matches the Rfam family "Bacterial small subunit ribosomal RNA", at positions 338 to 795 of the family's 1533-position model. The record is from RNAcentral.